GGCGGGUUAGCAAAGUGGCUAUGCAGUGGAUUGCAAAUCCAUCUACCUCGGUUCGACUCCGGGACCCGCCUCCA
This 74-nucleotide transfer RNA is filed under the name Gammaproteobacteria bacterium. RNAcentral describes it as "tRNA-Cys". It matches the Rfam family "tRNA". From Rfam's summary of the family: Transfer RNA (tRNA) molecules are approximately 80 nucleotides in length. Their secondary structure includes four short double-helical elements and three loops (D, anti-codon, and T loops). The record is from RNAcentral. Lineage: Bacteria; Pseudomonadati; Pseudomonadota; Gammaproteobacteria. RNAcentral also lists the same sequence under 1 other name.